CUCAGAAGUCCUCUAGCCUAUACCCACCCAGGGCAGGCAAGCCCACCAGAGCAUCAGUGCCGGAUGAUGGGGUCAAAAGCAUAUCUCCUAGACAACGAAACCAAUGUGUCAGUUAAGAGGUGUUUGUGGGACCAGAGUAAGCAUGGAAUUGCAGAGAUUCUGAAAUUGUUCUGGAAGUAGACAUCACACAGUAAAGCAGUGCUUCUGCAA
Molecule: non-coding RNA, 210 nt
Organism: Microcebus murinus (gray mouse lemur)
Lineage: Eukaryota; Metazoa; Chordata; Mammalia; Primates; Cheirogaleidae
Source: RefSeq, a predicted model, not a curated record